UGGAAAGGAAAGAAUGUAAGAGAAAAAGAACAGAACAGAGCAGAGGGUGCCAGUGUGAAAUAAUGCCAAGGAAUCUCUGGGGAGGUUCUAUACUCUGUGGUCAGCCUGCCAGACCUGCCGUGCCUCAGCAAGUGGGUGCUCAAGCUCCCUCGAGAUGAAACCUGACCUUGAGAUGGGCCAGUGAGCAUGAGAUGAUUCAGGCAGAAGAUCAUUUCUCAGUUUGGUAUCCUCGAGGCAGCCCUAAUGGAGGCUGUGAAGCAUCAUGUUGGAGAAACUCUACCCCAUGGGGCAGAGGUUUGGACUUUCUCCUCCCCCAACUCCUCCCUUCAACACCUAAGCUCUCCCACAGCAGCUGCCCUGGGGUGAAAUCCUUGUGAAAUUUUAAGUACCUACAAGCCUGCUUCUUAGGACCACAGCAUGUCACCCAACAUCACUGAUCUUAAAUUUACCCAUCCACAGUAUAAAGACAAUAAUGUUUACCUACUGGUAUAAUAUUGAGGAUUUAAGGAGAUGAAGUAUGAGAAAACGUUGUAAGCUAGAAAAAUCUGUACAACAUACUAUAAGUACUCUCAGAAGUAUUAUUGAACUCACCUUUGCCAUUUCUUAACCAACUCUGAACCAAAGUCUCCAUUAACUGCAAGACGCAUUAUUAUUUUACAGACAAAAAUGAGGUGCCGUCGAUUAAACUGAAACCCAACGCA
Molecule: non-coding RNA, 701 nt
Organism: Ictidomys tridecemlineatus (thirteen-lined ground squirrel)
Lineage: Eukaryota; Metazoa; Chordata; Mammalia; Rodentia; Sciuridae
Source: RefSeq, a predicted model, not a curated record